This 293-nucleotide small nuclear RNA is filed under the name Octodon degus (degu). RNAcentral describes it as "7SK RNA (ENSODEG00000024121.1)". It matches the Rfam family "7SK RNA". From Rfam's summary of the family: 7SK was discovered as an abundant small nuclear RNA in the mid-70s but a possible function has only recently been suggested. Two independent studies have found that 7SK RNA binds the CDK9/cyclin T complex (known as elongation factor P-TEFb). The record is from RNAcentral. Lineage: Eukaryota; Metazoa; Chordata; Mammalia; Rodentia; Octodontidae.
GGAUGUGAAGGUGGCUGAGCUACAGCGUCUGUCACCCCAUUGAUCUCCAGCGUUAAUUAGGUGGCUGGCUGGCAAGUGCCCCUCCACCUUCUCUACUCCAUGUGCACCCCUGCUGAAGCUGCAUGCUUAGUGAAAGAGGACGAGUACCCUAAAAGAGGAGGACUGUUCCUCAGUCAAGGGUACACCAGAAGCCAUGCUUCCCCACAAGAACCUCCACACCAGUGCUCCAGAAAUUGCCAUGAAAGUUUUGUAUCAAUUCAGAGCAUUGAGGCAGCCAUGAAAAGACACUCAAG